AUGCAACACUGGACAAGAUGCUAUGUGUGGAGCUCUGCACUGGAAGCUGCAGAUACAGCCGUGAGUGGAGGAUCGGGGUCUGGGUCUGUAAGCACUGAGAGCCUGAGCAGUGGGCCAGUGCUCCAAUGAAGCCAGAGGCCUCCUGGGUCCUGACACAGCUGGGGAUGGGAUUUGACGAAGGCCUGCAAACCGAAGCUGGACAACUUGAUAUAAAUCUGGAAGGACUCACCAUCACUGCAGACCAUGCAUGAGAAGGAAUGAUGUUCCUUGUGCCCAGGAAGCUAGGGAGACCUAUGAGAAGAAAGGAUGGCUUGUUAUGUGUAGUGACCUGAUGGAGACAGCCAUUCCACUCAGCCUCAUCCAAGGACAUGGGGACACAACAAGGGACCUCACGAGAUCGCUUUACAGACCAGUUGGUCCGGAGGCACAUUUCUUCUGCAGGGAUUGGCAAGGAAGAUUUCAGUCUUCAAGGUCUGUUGCUGGGCCUGGGCAAUGGUUGCGUU
Molecule: long non-coding RNA, 503 nt
Filed under: Pan troglodytes (chimpanzee)
Lineage: Eukaryota; Metazoa; Chordata; Mammalia; Primates; Hominidae
Description: lincRNA
Source: RNAcentral